ACUUUUAAAAUCGGUUAUUUCAGAACCGAUUUUGUAUGUAGUAUACAAAAUCGGUUCCAAAAUAACCGAUUUUAAAAGU
RNAcentral lists this microRNA precursor (79 nucleotides) under Cajanus cajan (pigeon pea). Its description in RNAcentral is "miRNA gene-KK1_046040". Lineage: Eukaryota; Viridiplantae; Streptophyta; Magnoliopsida; Fabales; Fabaceae. The record is from RNAcentral.